ACUCAAAGGAAUAGACGGGGGCCCGCACAAGCGGUGGAGCAUGUGGUUCAAUUCGACGCAACGCGAAGAACCUUACCUGGGCUCGAAGUGCUACGGACAGUCUGUGAAAGCAGAUCUCCCCUUAAAAGGCCGUAGUAUAGGUGCUGCAUGGCUGUCGUCAGCUCGUGUCGUGAGAUGUUGGGUUAAGUCCCGCAACGAGCGCAACCCUUGUCCUGUGUUGCCAUCAUUUAGUUGGGAACUCGCAGGAGACCGCCAGCGAUAAGUUGGAGGAAGGUGGGGAUGACGUCAAGUCCUCAUGGCCUUUAUGUCCAGGGCUACACACGUGCUACAAUGGCCGGUACAAAGCGUUCCUAAGCCGCAAGGUGGAGGCAAUCGCAGAAAACCGGUCUCAGUUCGGAUUGCAGGCUGCAACUCGCCUGCAUGAAGCUGGAAUCGCUAGUAAUGCUAUAUCAGAACGAUAGCGUGAAUACGUUCCCGGGCCUUGUACACACCGCCCGU
RNAcentral lists this ribosomal RNA (498 nucleotides) under uncultured bacterium. RNAcentral describes it as "partial 16S ribosomal RNA". It matches the Rfam family "Bacterial small subunit ribosomal RNA", at positions 899 to 1397 of the family's 1533-position model. The record is from RNAcentral.